This 253-nucleotide ribosomal RNA is filed under the name uncultured bacterium. Its description in RNAcentral is "partial 16S ribosomal RNA". It matches the Rfam family "Bacterial small subunit ribosomal RNA", at positions 524 to 776 of the family's 1533-position model. The record is from RNAcentral.
UACAGAGGGUGCAAGCGUUAAUCGGAAUUACUGGGCGUAAAGAGCACGUAGGUGGUUAUUCAAGUUGGAUGUGAAAGCCCCGGGCUUAACCUGGGAAGGUCAUCCAAGACUGUAGGACUAGAGUAUAGUAGAGGGAAGUGGAAUUUCCGGUGUAGCGGUGAAAUGCGUAGAUAUCGGAAGGAACACCAGUGGCGAAGGCGACAUCCUGGACCGGUAUUGACGCUGAGGCGCGAAAGCCAGGGGAGCAAACGGG